UACGGGGGGGGCAAGCGUUGUUCGGAAUUACUGGGCGUAAAGGGCUCGUAGGCGGCCAACUAAGUCGGACGUGAAAUCCCUCGGCUUAACCGGGGGAACUGCGUCCGAUACUGGAUGGCUUGAGUUUGGGAGAGGGAUGCGGAAUUCCAGGUGUAGCGGUGAAAUGCGUAGAUAUCUGGAGGAACACCGGUGGCGAAGGCGGCAUCCUGGACCAAUACUGACGCUGAGGAGCGAAAGCCAGGGGAGCAAACGGG
This 254-nucleotide ribosomal RNA is filed under the name uncultured bacterium. RNAcentral describes it as "partial 16S ribosomal RNA". It matches the Rfam family "Bacterial small subunit ribosomal RNA", at positions 524 to 776 of the family's 1533-position model. The record is from RNAcentral.